GCAACGAGAACGAUUUAAGAAUUCUUAUCCGAAAUUACAAAUAAUUUUAUUUUGUAUUAUUUAAACAAACAAAAAAAACUAUUAUUUUAAUUGUCUAUUGCUAGGGGGAAGGGCUUAAAGGGUGGAGAUGCAAAUGGCAGUUACUGUUCAUUUAAGGCAGUUACUGUUCAUUUAAGGCAGUUACUGUUUAUUUAAGGCAGUUACUGUUUAUUUAAGGCAGUUACUGUUCAAUAGGGUGGAUUGAAUAGUGGAUUACCAGGGGGAAGGGCUCCAUGGGUGGAGUUGCUC
This 288-nucleotide long non-coding RNA is filed under the name Malus domestica (apple). RNAcentral describes it as "long non-coding RNA (MDOM_LNC004236)". Lineage: Eukaryota; Viridiplantae; Streptophyta; Magnoliopsida; Rosales; Rosaceae. The record is from RNAcentral.